RNAcentral lists this long non-coding RNA (467 nucleotides) under Homo sapiens (human). RNAcentral describes it as "HSALNT0250403". The record is from RNAcentral. Lineage: Eukaryota; Metazoa; Chordata; Mammalia; Primates; Hominidae.
AAUACAAUGAGGUAACAAUUAUUGGAACACUAGGAAGAAAAUGCCAAAUAUACCAGGCAUGUUUGUGAAUAGAUCGCAGUUUUUAUAUCUGAAUCUUUAAAUUUAUGUAGAAAAAUAGAUGAAUAUUAGUAAAAGGGAAGGCAGUUGUCAUAGAGGACAUUUUCUCUUCUCAACAGAACAUUAGAACUCAUUGCAAGAGCAUGUCAAGACAGGACCAAAGUGGACUCACACCAUUGCCUUCGGUGAACCUUGAAAAACUUAUCAACACCAAGAACCUGGCCAAGUUAAUGCAAAAGUGUGAAAGAAUGUCUUUCUCUGCUCAACUGAGGAAGUGUUUGGGGAAAUGCCUUUGCUGUAGCUCAGCCUUUGGCAGUCAUCCCUUGUGGAAGAAUACUGAGACCCAAGAAAAGAGGCUGCAAAUGACAUUCCAGCCCACAGCUUAAUAAUUUCAGAAAACUCUGUUGCUU